GGGCGAGGAAAAGACAUCAACCGAGAUUCCGCUAGUAGUGGCGAGCGAACGCGGAGGAGGCCAAACCAAGAGUAGUAAUACUUUUGGGGUACGGACUGCAUACGGUAUUGACAAAGGCUAGUAGAAUGAGAUGGGAAGCUCAACCAUAGAACGUGAGAGUCGUGUAAACGAAAGCGUGAGUCAGCCAGCAGGAUCCAGAGUACCGCCGGACACGUGAAACCCGGUGGGAAUACGGGGGGACCACCCUCCAAGCCUAAAUACUCUCCAAUGACCGAUAGUGAAUAGUACUGUGAAGGAAAGGUGAAAAGAACCCCUGGCGGGGAGUGAAAUAGAACCUGAAACCUUGUGCCUACAAGCACAUAGAGCACAUCAACGUGUGAUAUGGUACCUUUUGUAGAAUGGUCCGGCGAGUGAAUGUCACUAGCGAGGUUAAGGACUUAAGGUCUGUAGCCGAAGCGAAAGCGAGUCUUAAUAGGGCGAUUUUAGUUAGUGGUAUUCGACCCGAAACCGAGUGACCUAGCCAUGAGCAGGCUGAAGUGGAGGUAAAACUCCAUGGAGGGCCGAACCCACUCCCGUUGAAAUGGUAGGGGAUGACUUGUGGCUAGCGGAGAAAUUCCAAUCGAACUCGGAGAUAGCUGGUUCUCUCCGAAAUAGCUUUAGGGCUAGCCUCAAUAUACAUUACUGCAGGUAAAGCACUGAAUGGGCUAGGGGGCGAAAGCUUACUGAACCCUAUCAAACUAAGAAUGGCAGAUAAUGAAAUAUUGGGAGUCACACUGCGUGAGAUAAGUUUCGUGGUGGAAAGGGAAACAGCCCAGACCCACAGCUAAGGUCCCAAAGUACGGUUAAGUGGAAAAGGAUGUGGAAUUGCACAGACAACCAGGAUGUUGGCUCAGAAGCAGCCAUUCAUUCAAAGAGUGCGUAAUAGCUCACUGGUCGAGUGACUCUGCGCCGAAGAUUUAACGGGGCUAAAUCGUACACCGAAGCUUGGGAAUAUGCAUUUAUGUAUGUUGGUAGGAGAGCGUCGUAUGCGGGGUGAAGUCAUAGCGUAAGCGGUGGUGGACUGCAUAGGAGUGAGAAUGCCGGAAUGAGUAGCGAGAAUUAUGUGAGAAUCAUAAUGGCCGAAAGACUAAGGUUUUAGAAGGAAGGUUCGUCCGCUUCUAGUUAGCCGGGGGCUAAGGCGAGGCCGAGAGGCGUAGUCGAUGCACAUACGGUUGAGAUUCCGUAGCCACCUACGAUUUAAACUAAAGGACACAUCAAAAGGGCAUGACCCGGGCGUUGGUUGACCCGGGCGUAAGGGACCGAAAAUAAGUAGGGAAGCAUGCUUGGCUGGUGGCGAGAAAAGUUUAGUGUAUAUAAUGUAGGUGCCCGUACUGUAAACCGACACAGGUAGUCAGGAAGAGAAUUCUAAGGCCAUCGGGAGAAGCGUUGUUAAGGAACUCGGCAAAUUGACCCCGUAACUUCGGAAUAAGGGUUGCUCACGAGAGUGAGCCGCAGUGAAAAGGUCCAGGCAACUGUUUAUCAAAAACACAGCUCUCUGCUAAAUCGUAAGAUGACGUAUAGGGGGUGACACCUGCCCGGUGCUGGAAGGUUAAGAGGAGGGGUGCAAGCUCCGAAUUGAAGCCCCAGUAAACGGCGGCCGUAACUAUAACGGUCCUAAGGUAGCGAAAUUCCUUGUCGGGUAAGUUCCGACCCGCACGAAUGGUGUAAUGAUCUGGACACUGUCUCAACAACGCACCCGGCGAAAUUGUAGUACCGGUGAAGAUGCCGGUUACCCGCGGCAAGACGGAAAGACCCCAUGGAGCUUUACUGUAGCUUAGUAUUGGGUCUCGGUAUUUUAUGUACAGGAUAGGCGGGAGACUAGGAAGCAAGUACGCCAGUAUUUGCGGAGUCAUCCUUGGGAUACCGCUCUUAAAGUAUUGAGAUUCUAACCUGCGGCCUUGAAUCAGGUCGGGGGACAUUGCUAGGUGGGCAGUUUGACUGGGGCGGUCGCCUCCAAAAGAGUAACGGAGGCGUUCAAAGG
This 2020-nucleotide ribosomal RNA is filed under the name human gut metagenome. RNAcentral describes it as "bacterial LSU rRNA". It matches the Rfam family "Bacterial large subunit ribosomal RNA", at positions 209 to 2316 of the family's 2925-position model. The record is from RNAcentral.